This 764-nucleotide unclassified non-coding RNA is filed under the name Hevea brasiliensis (rubber tree). Lineage: Eukaryota; Viridiplantae; Streptophyta; Magnoliopsida; Malpighiales; Euphorbiaceae. The record is from RNAcentral.
GGAAUUCUGAGAUUUGAAAUUCAUGUCAGUAUUAAUCAGCAUAUACAAGUAGAAACUCUAAUAAGAUAACAGUAAAGAUAGCAAAUCUAAGUUAAUUUUUUUUUUCGUUUAAAAAAUCUCUUUCCCACUAUGCCUCAGAAAAAUAUACAACAGGCUUUAAAUGAUGGAGAGAGCUACCAGCACUGAUCUGUUUCCCAGUUCCGGGUAGUAUAGCCGGUGAAUGCCGACAUUGCUGAAGGAGAACAGCCGCCGGAGUAUAAAUUGACGUUCCGGCGCCUCCGGAAUAGGCGGCGGUCAUAAUCGGCGCGUUUAUCCGGAUCCGAAAGAGUAGAAUAGGCAGAAUGAAUCUUCAUGAAAUCGUCCGCCGACGUGUCCUUCUGAUCAAUUGCCGCCACAUCAGGAUGACAAACCCUAGCUAAUCUCCGAUAAGCUGCCUUGAUCUCCUGGAUCGUAGCGCCGAUCGGAAUCCCUAGAAUCUCGUAGAAAGACGCCGAAGAAGCAUGGAUAAUGUCAGAAGGCAGCGUCGAGUACCUUGACGUGGUAGAUUCAGUUUCGACGGAAGCGCAAGUCGCCGCCGCCGCUGCGGCGGUGGUGAAGUUACCGGACUGACGGAAUCUGACGGAAGACGGUGAUAGAAGAGAAUUAUCGCCGGAGGAAAAUAUAUUCACCGGCGGUGGCGGAGUUUGAAGAAACGAACGAGGGGAAGUAGUAGAUAUGAUGGGCAUGUUUAUUUUACUUUUUGGUGUGUGUGUGUGGAGUGUAAU